UGACCAAUGACCAGUUGCCAGCGCGCCCUGCUCAUUGACGGACAAGACUCGUGAGCGCCGGGCUGGUUUCCUGACACUGACACGCGGUAUAUACGUCUUAUUUUGGGCACCGGAAACAUAGGCUGGCCACACCAGGCUGCUGCAUGAGGCAGGCACCAGGAGGCUGAUGACCAGAAAUGUCAGCCUUUGUGUACUUUAACUGAGUAGUGUUCCAGACUGCUUGAAGCCCAGCCGGGGUCUUGAGGCAUCCUUGGAGGGGCCGCUUGGGGGAAAUGGUGCUCCUGUGAGUGGUGUUUGGGGGAGCGUUCCUUUGCUUCUCCUUGGCGAGGCGUCACCCUCUGGCCCCACCGUGAUGGCAUUCUGCUCCUCUUCUCCCUCAGUCUUGCCAGGCACUACAUAUAUUGAAGAAAUCAUUUAAGUAAUGUGAAGGAAAUGUCUAAUGAAGCAUUGAAGUUUCAUAAGCAAAGAAAUGAGGCAAGAAUUAAUUGCAGUAAACAUUGUAAGAGUGGCGACAGGCUGGAUGCUCAAGCUAGACCUACCUUCUCCGAUGUGACUGUUGAGGUGGUAGAAGGUGGGGGAGGAGGAGCAGUUCACCAUGUACCAGUGGUCACACACCAUGAACUUCUGGUUGAAGAGGGUAUAGUUUGGGCACAGGUAUGAGUACUGCCUCUCCAGACUGUCACACAUGUGGUACACCUGUCAACACAAGGCAGCAGGCCCAAUAAUUUUUCUGCCAGCUUAUAAUGGGGCAAGGUGUGCCAGUGUGUGGCAGCAGGACUACCUGGCAGCCAGUGUCUGGGUCAGCGUAGUAUCCGGCACUGUGACCCAGGCAGCGGAAGGGAGUGUCAGGAAUAGCCCCUAGCAGUGGAACAGUUGCUUCUUUCUGCAGAAGGAAGACAAUAGGGCAUAACAGCAUAACAGAGCAUCUGGAAGGGUCACCUCGGUCAUGGAUGUGAUGCCAUUGCUGCAGGAGGUGAGGGAGUAGAGGAAGAGGAGGAAGAGGAGGUGUGGCAGGCGCCGGUGUGGGUGCUGGAUGGAGCCCCAGGAAAGAGGUUGCAUAAUGUGGCAAGACUGCAUCAUUGUCCUGGUAGUGGUGGUGGUGACCUCUGCCGAGGCCUCCUGCAGACACCAACAACGCACUGCUGCAAGAAAUGUAUGAUUGUCUUGUGUUGAUAGUGAAAAAAGUGAUGCCUUCAAAAUUAAUAAGUGUAUAUUUUUAGUAAGAGCAGCAACAUAUAAAACAAUCAUUAUCAUCAUCAGUAGCAACAGUUGUAAUAGAGGUCAUUAUAAUAAGUGGGAACUAUGAAUUAUUUCAGCAAUAAAAGAUCAAUUUCA
This is a long non-coding RNA of Scylla paramamosain (green mud crab), 1335 nucleotides long. RefSeq lists it as uncharacterized. NCBI's taxonomy places the organism in Eukaryota, Metazoa, Arthropoda, Malacostraca, Decapoda, Portunidae. The record is from RefSeq and is a predicted model, not a curated record. The transcript is spliced from 6 exons.